Molecule: transfer RNA, 75 nt
Filed under: Pedobesia claviformis
Lineage: Eukaryota; Viridiplantae; Chlorophyta; Ulvophyceae; Bryopsidales; Derbesiaceae
Description: tRNA-His
Rfam family: tRNA
About the family: Transfer RNA (tRNA) molecules are approximately 80 nucleotides in length.
Source: RNAcentral
GGUGAGCGUGGCCAAGUGGUAAGGCAGAGUCUUGUGGCGACUCUAUUCGUGGGUUCAAUUCCCAUCGUUUGCCUC